CUGUUAUGGAUCAGUUCAAACAGAGCAGUAGGAAACAGCACUAUGAAAGACAUAAUCCAACAUCUAUCUAUAAAACUCACUGAAGUUCUCUCUACCUGAACACAUGUGGAUAGAUCAUUAAACAUGCUUGUUUUGGCAACUACUAUGAUGUUUAUCUGAAUGUUCAGGGCUAAAAGCUGAGAUAUGAUCAAAAAUCAUACAGGAAUUUCCCCCAGAUGAAAUUGGCUUUCUUGGCUUUUAAGAAUGACACUGAUGUUAGCAACUGGUUUCAGAUUUCUAUGUGGCAAGCAGAACACCCAGGCCCCUGGCUGGUAGCAAUUGUAGCCAUUCAGAGGAGCAGCUUACUGCCAGUUCAUGGACAUGAUGUUCCCCAGGUGUAUUAGCUUGAAGAAAGAAGAAUGAGUACAUUCACAACUUCAAGAUUCUGCAACUUUCUGUAUAGUGAUUCUCCCCAUCUGAAUAUUGAGACAUCAACUAUUUUUGUAAUGCACCUUCUCAAAAUAAUAUUAACCAUCAGAUUUUUCAUGAGCUGCCAAAUUGCAGGGCUGUCUGAGUGAUUGUGGGGUUGUUAAACAGGUUGUACUUUUAAACAAAGUUUUAAAUUCAAUUGCCCACCUAUUGUCAUAGAAGUGUCAUCUUAGAUGCCUUAGGCCUAUAAGAGGUUGAUAUGAACUGACUGACAUGGCUGAGGUGACCCAAAUAUUUUUCUGAUGGCAGUCAGGGUUCAGUUAGGGAAAUUUCUCAAGUUAUCUGCACUGGUGAUAAGCAAGCUGAUGUGAAAGAGACAGAAUUAACCCCAGAUUAACUGAGAGUUUACCUUGGCAGCAUUUCCACUAGGAACUUAAGUGUAAUUUGAAAUUUUCUAUGAUUUGAGAACAAAAGUGACCAUGUUGCAUUUUAUUAUGCACUCUCCAGGUCCUUAGAAAGCAUCUCCAAGGUUAUUAGAUGAGUAGCUAUGCAGGAGAGAACAGUAAAGUUGAGCUCUCAUCUGAUCUGAACUCACAAUGGAGGUCUGAGCACAGAAUAAGGCAGACCUGGAGGUGAGGGCUGGUGGCUACCAGCACAGCCUUUUCAGUGUCCUCAAGUUCAUGCACAGCUCUACAUUUUUACUGUCAGAACUACUUUGCAUGUCAAUUUUCAGAGCCAAAAGCAUUUGAUAUACUAAUAUUAAAAUGAACAUCCUACCACACCAUAAAUCCCUUUGCUUUCAGGGCUAACACUGAUAAAUUUACUGUGAAACAUACGCAGAGUAAUGAACAGUGUAGGGUGUUGCCUGGUUUCUGAGGGCCUGGCUAACGGGGAAGAAUGCCUCAUAUUGCUUUUAACUUCCAACCCCCAGCUGUAUAGAGGCAGAAAUUCAAAAUUAAAAAUAACCUUUCAGCUGAUUCCUUGCAUAAUUGCUAUCUUGUUUUGUUAAUACUGUGGCUGAAUUAUAACUUGCUGAAGUCCUGGAGAUUUACAUGCUGCUUUAUCAGCCUGAAUUUGCAUUGACAUGCUUUUCAGUCAAGUGAGUAACUAAAUCCCAUAGCCUUGAGUGAGCCUGGCAGUAUUUGCAUAGAAAAUCACAGGGAGAUUAGGG
This is a long non-coding RNA of Gallus gallus (chicken), 1579 nucleotides long. NCBI's taxonomy places the organism in Eukaryota, Metazoa, Chordata, Aves, Galliformes, Phasianidae. The record is from Ensembl.